UACAGAGGGUGCGAGCGUUAAUCGGAAUUACUGGGCGUAAAGCGCGCGUAGGCGGCUUUACAAGUCGGGUGUGAAAUCCCCAGGCUUAACCUGGGAACUGCAUUCGAGACUGCAUUGCUAGAGUAUGGGAGAGGGAAGUGGAAUUUCCGGUGUAGCGGUGAAAUGCGUAGAUAUCGGAAGGAACAUCAGUGGCGAAAGCGACUUCCUGGACCAAUACUGACGCUCAUGUGCGAAAGCGUGGGGAGCAAACAGG
Molecule: ribosomal RNA, 253 nt
Filed under: uncultured bacterium
Lineage: Bacteria
Description: partial 16S ribosomal RNA
Rfam family: Bacterial small subunit ribosomal RNA
Source: RNAcentral